GCAGAUUGAUUGGUAGAAAGUGACGUCCCAACUGCCACAUGCAACAAUCCCCUUUGUUCAUCAACUUUAUUGGUAAAAGGACAAGCAAUGUUUUAAAGCUGAAUAUGACAAUCUGGGCAAUGAAAAUGGUAAAGUGGGUUCCACCCAAAGUCAAAGGAAAAUUGGUAAUGUGCCUAGCAAUUGUAGCCCUUGGUUUUACCAACCACAACAAAUCAAAG
Molecule: long non-coding RNA, 218 nt
Filed under: Theobroma cacao (cacao)
Lineage: Eukaryota; Viridiplantae; Streptophyta; Magnoliopsida; Malvales; Malvaceae
Description: long non-coding RNA (TCAC_LNC005009)
Source: RNAcentral